GUGCAAGUAAGUAGGCUGAGAAGAAUUCCUGCUUGGAGCUUCCAUUUGCUCUUCAGAGCCAAUUCCUGCUGUGUUGGACUAACUCAUUAGCUGAGAUCAUCUCAUGAGAUCAUGAGCUAAUGAGCUAAGCCCUGCACUGCCAGGCUUUGCUCAAUGGACAGACAGAGAGAGCUUCCAGCUCUCACAGAGGAGCAGGGCAUGGGCUGCAGCUCCAG
Molecule: non-coding RNA, 215 nt
Organism: Pelobates cultripes (western spadefoot toad)
Lineage: Eukaryota; Metazoa; Chordata; Amphibia; Anura; Pelobatidae
Source: the annotation of a GenBank genome assembly